UACAGAGGGGGCAAGCGUUGUUCGGAAUUACUGGGCGUAAAGGGCGCGUAGGCGGCCUUCUAAGUCGAACGUGAAAUCCCUGGGCUCAACCCAGGAACUGCGUCCGAUACUGGAAGGCUUGAGUCCGGGAGAGGGAUGCGGAAUUCCAGGUGUAGCGGUGAAAUGCGUAGAUAUCUGGAGGAACACCGGUGGCGAAGGCGGCAUCCUGGACCGGUAUUGACGCUGAGGCGCGAAAGCUAGGGGAGCAAACGGG
Molecule: ribosomal RNA, 253 nt
Filed under: uncultured bacterium
Lineage: Bacteria
Description: partial 16S ribosomal RNA
Rfam family: Bacterial small subunit ribosomal RNA
Source: RNAcentral